UAUUGCCCAGGCCAGCAGUGGCCAGCCAGUCUGCUGCCAAGUGAGUUCCGCAGGAGAUGGAGAAACAGUGGGGAGCCACACCAGCCACAUUGAAAAUCCAAGGUCUUUCCCCACUUGUUCAUGGAAGCACCUGUGACUGUUGGGUUUUGGGCUUCCCCAAACCAUAUCCCUGGGAGAGGGCUAAAAUAUGUCUUUUUUGGAACAUCCUCCAAGACUCUUGGGGGGUUUCCUGAGCUGUUGAUUCCUUUUCAUCCAGCUCUGUUUACCCCAGGUAGCAAGUGGUCCAUUUUUGUUCACAAAACUACUGUUUUAAUCUAAAAAGAAGUUGGUUCUGCGUUUUUACUGGAAGAUAAUACUCAAGUUUUUUACUUACAUGUUAUCAAAAUGCAAUAGUAUAAACUUGUACUGGUGAGACUCCCAAACUCAGUCUGUGUUCUCCUCAGUGAAAUCAGCACUUUCCUCUUCAUUUUUUUCUACCAUGUGGCUUUAAACUGUCUUCAAAGUCUUCUUCCUCAUCUCGCCAUCUUCACUGAAGUUUUCAGCUUCAGUGUCCUUAGUACACACAGAAAUGAAGACUGGAUUCCUAGCUUCAACUUCUGGAUGUGCUUAUUAAGCUGAGGUUGGCCUCAGCUUUGCUGAAUGCAGUCUUGUUUCCUAGGCAGAGAUCCUUCUGUUCUAGAUGGGAAGAUAAAAUGUAGUGGUCCCCUCUCCUUUCUUGGAAACACCAUAGGACAGCUGACUUGCUUCCACCUAUUUGACGAUGUGGGAAGAGGGAGAUGGUUUGAUUCAUCUAUACUGGGAAAUUCCUUGGCACAAGGCUGCCAGGAAGUGAAUAAGGACCGCAAUUCUAGUUUUUAAGAAGAUUGGGAUUUUGUUUAUUUUGUCUGUGAAGUGCCACAUGUACGUGGUAAAAUUCCAGAGUAUAAAAGGCUGAUUUGUGAAAAUCUAGGCUCCCUCCUUCAGUCCCCAGAUUCUCCUUGGACAGUUUAUCCAUCCUGACUCUGCAUACUCAAGUACCUGUUCUGUUUCUACCAAGUAUAUAUUGGAGCCUAUUUCAGAAUUGCCCAUAUGGGUCUGCUUAAUUAAUUAAUUUGUAUUAGGGAUUGAACCCUGGGGCAUUCCACCACUGAGCUGCAUCCACAGCCCCCCUCCAACUUUUUAAAAUUUUUGAGACAGAGCCUUGAACUUAAUCGUUUUCUCCUGCCUUAGCUGCCCAAGUAGCUGGGAUUACAGGUGUGCACCACUGAGUCUGGCCCUCUAUCCUGAACAACCACAGAGCAUUUCAUUAUCUUGAAUGUAUUGUCAUUUCUUUUAACAAUCUCCUAUUUAUAAACAGGGUUGUUUCUAA
Molecule: long non-coding RNA, 1348 nt
Filed under: Marmota monax (woodchuck)
Lineage: Eukaryota; Metazoa; Chordata; Mammalia; Rodentia; Sciuridae
Source: RNAcentral